Molecule: ribosomal RNA, 331 nt
Filed under: Theileria sp.
Lineage: Eukaryota; Apicomplexa; Aconoidasida; Piroplasmida; Theileriidae
Description: SSU rRNA
Rfam family: Eukaryotic small subunit ribosomal RNA
Source: RNAcentral
GUAAUUGGAAUGAGUGGGAAUUUAAACCUCUUCCAGUAGUAUCAAUUUGGAGGGCAAGUCUGGUGCCAGCAGCCGCGGUAAUUCCAGCUCCAAUAGCGUAUAUUAAAAUUGUUGCAGUUAAAAAGCUCGUAGUUGAAUUUCUGCUGCAUUGUCUAUUCCCUCCGGGGUCUUGUCACUGGGCUUUUUUCCGACUUGUCUCUGUCUGGAUGUUAACUUUGAUAAAAUUAAGUGCUCGCUCAGGCUUUUGCCUUGUUUUACAUGGAAUAAUAAAGUAGGACUUUGGUUCUAUUUUGUUGUUUUUAUACCAAAGUAAUGGUUAAGAUAACAGUUG